CCUACGGGUGGCAGCAGUGGGGAAUAUUGCACAAUGGGGGAAACCCUGAUGCAGCGACGCCGCGUGAGUGAAGAAGUACUUCUUUACGUAAAACUCUAUCAGCAGGGAAGAAAAUGACGGUACCUGAGUAAUAAGCCCCGGCUCACUACGUGACAGCAGCCGCGGUACUACGGAGGGAGCAGGCGUUAUCCGGAUUUACUGGGUGUAAAGGGAGCGUAGACGGUGCGCCAAGUCUGGAGUGAAAUUCCUGAGCUUAACUGCGGAACUGCCGUGGAAACUGGCGAACUGGAGUGCGGGAGGGGUAAGCGGAAUUCGUAGUGUAGCGGUGAAAUGCGUAGAUAUUACGAAGAACACCGAUUGCGAAGGCAGCUUACUGGACCGUAACUGACGUUGAGGCUCGAAAGCGUGGGGAGCAAACGGGAUUAGAUACCCUUGUAGUC
Molecule: ribosomal RNA, 440 nt
Filed under: uncultured bacterium
Lineage: Bacteria
Description: partial 16S ribosomal RNA
Rfam family: Bacterial small subunit ribosomal RNA
Source: RNAcentral